AUAUCUUUUAAGUCUCAUUUGCCUAAAACUCCUGUUUCUAUGGACCAAAAAAAUAUGUUAAUCAGACCAAUAGUAUUCCUCAGGUCAGAAUUUGGAUCAGUAAACUGACCCCUAGCGAGAAAUUAAGUCUUAAGUGAUACAGAAAAAAAUUCUAGGUUGAGUCACUUCUGUUUAGUGUUGGGGUUGGAAAGGACCAGUCUCUGAGCUGACUGCUGGGAAGUCCUUAAGAGAGGGAUCUGCUUCUCUUUGGAUUUGACUUUGUGUCAUCCAUAACUUUGGAUUAUGAGGAAAGGUAAAUUGAGGCUUUAUCUUUGGCUUCUGGUCUUUAUUUUCCAGCAGGCUAAAACUCUUUUAAAACACCACUUUAAUAAUAUUCUCCUCCUUGGGUUUAAAACUUGCUUACUGAAGGUAUAGGAACCUUGGCAAAGAGCUCUGCUCUCCUCUAGCCUGGCUGUCCGUGGAGUUCCUGGAGAGCAGACACGGGACAGUGUUUUAAGGCACUGGAAGGCGCUGAAUGAGGCUGGACUAUGCGUAUGGCUGCUGAAGUCUUAACUGCGUUCUCUUCUCAGCUGAUUGGGCAGGCCAGGAUGAAGGAGUCUUUUAAAUCAUGAUUCCAGCCCUCCUGGGGUCUUUACACCACAGACACAGCUGAAGGGUUUGAGUACUGUUUGCUAGAACAGCUCAACACCACAAAACAUGAGCUGUGUGAGAUGAGCCCUUGGCCUGGCUAACACUGCCUUUCACUGUGACACGAGUGACACGACACUGGAAGAGCCAACCACGCACGACUCUGGGAAGUGGUGGGGCACCUGGGGAGGCUCUUAGACAUAAAUGCUUGGGCUUCAGGACUGAAUUCCUUCAGAGGAUCAAGUAGUUCGAUGAAGCUGUUGUCAGAGAUGCCAGGCCCACUUACCUCUGCAUUAUAAGUCCAGAUGACCAGAUUUUGGGUCAAAGCUUUUGUGGGUGUCAGGGAUUCAGAUCCCUCCACAAAGACUACCUUGCCUUCCCUCCCUGAACAGUGAGUACUGUAGUUUACAAUGUCUCCAGUUUAGCACGGCCCACCGAUUUUGCUGCUCCUGGACUCCACUGUGAAACAGGUCUGAUCUUGCAGCUCAGUAAGACCUAACAGUAACUUUAAAGCCAGUUCUCCCUUAUGACUGCUUUUCUGAGGCCUUACCUCCCUACCUCCUACACAGGAACAGAAAAUACACUGAUGGCUGUGAUUAGCAACCCAAGUAACAACCAGAACCCAUGUCAUUUAUUUUGGAGAAUUUACCUUUAAAUCUCUACCUUUGGUGUUUUCAUUUGGGAGGAAAAAAACCAAAAUAUGUCAAAUAACCUUUUUAUUGUUAAACCAAAUGGAAGUUGGAACUCAUUCCAGUUAAUAUCUCAGGUAGAAAAACUGAUUUUUUUUUUUAAAUACCUGAGCCCCUUUUUCUGUUCUUCACGGAUCCUUGGUCUUAAUUAAUGUGGAAACACCUAAUCCUUCCAAUUAUUCUGUGGACUUUGCCGAUUGCGCCAAGAUUUUAGUUGAGACUUAGUUUUCAAAGAUGCUGACUGGUUGGAAUAGCCGGUUCUAAACUAACAAGCUGUAAAGGAAUUAAUAGUCUAUGUUGUACACAUUUGAGAUCUCUUGGAUAUAAAUGUAUAGCUCCAAGUGGCUUACAUUGAUUCUCUCACCUGGGUGGUAAGCAUACCCAAAUGUGUAUUUUUUGUUACAGAGCUCUGCUUUAUAAUUUUGUAAUAAAGUUUAAAUACAGAUGCCUGUUCCAUCUGGUGUGGGGGGAUGAUACCAGAGGUUCCCAAAACACUUGUAAACGUGGGCAGACAUCAGGCCACAUGCUCUGUGUUG
This 1852-nucleotide long non-coding RNA is filed under the name Rattus norvegicus (Norway rat). RNAcentral describes it as "long non-coding RNA NONRATT005784". The record is from RNAcentral. Lineage: Eukaryota; Metazoa; Chordata; Mammalia; Rodentia; Muridae.